Gasterosteus aculeatus aculeatus (three-spined stickleback) is the source of this 1091-nucleotide long non-coding RNA. The record is from Ensembl. NCBI's taxonomy places the organism in Eukaryota, Metazoa, Chordata, Actinopteri, Perciformes, Gasterosteidae.
GUGAUGAUGCGGCACCUUUCGCAGGUUGGUGUGAAGGUGUGAAGCUGUGGACUCUGCUAUGAAUCAGGCUGAGGACCCAGAGGACGGAGUCCGUCCCUCUGAAGCUCCUCUGUGUGGGGAACAUGACAGCCAGACCACAGCUCAGAGGACCCAUCAGAGACCUGGACCUGAUCCUGAACCCAGCUGUGUGUCCAUGAAGAGUAACCGGUUUAUGGAGACUCCUUAAAACUUCAAAGAUGUUCGUCCCUCUGUAGAUGCGAGAUGAUGAUCUCAGGCUGAUGAUGAGGUGUUUCUCAGGAAUCAGGAAACAUUAAUCACCAUAAUCUGUGAGAUACACAAGGAAUGUGACUUGGCGGUUGGUGCGUAACAGCAGACAGUACGACAAUGGAUGACAAGACAACAGUGCAGGAGGAAUAAAAUAAAAUAUAAGGCUAUGGGUUAGUUUAAAAAUAAAGGAAUAACAGUUCGUUAAAGCUAUUUCAAAAUUAAAAAGAAAGUGCACCAGCAAACAGAAAGUGACAAGUGAAAGUGACAUGUGCAGUGUGAAGGGGAGUGAUGGACCUCAGCCUCCUGCCAGAUGGAAGGGGCACUAACAGGUUUUGUCCGGGGUGAGAGGGGUCGGCUACCAUCUUUUUAGCUGCUUCAGAGACCUGGAAGCGAACAAGUCCUGCAGGGACGGCAGAUUGCAGCCGAUCAGCCUCUCUGCAGAGCGGAGGACACGCUGCAGCCUGCCCUUGUCCUUGGCUGUGGCUGCAGCGUACCAGACGCUGACGGAGGAGCAGAGGAUGGACUCCAUGAUGGCCGUGUAGAAGUGGACCAUCGUCGUCUUUGGCAGGUUGAAUUUCUUCAGCUGCCUCAGGAAGAACAACCUCUGCUGAGCCUUCUUGGUGAUGGAGCUCGAGGUCCUGGGUGAUGAUGGCGCCCAGGAAACGGGAGGAAUCCACGGUGGUGUAAAAGCGACUUACGUCGCAUUUUUAACCCACUGCUUUUUACAUUUUGCUCAGGGACACUUCGACAUGGGACGGGGUUUUAUAUGUUGUAAAUGUGUAAAACCCACUUUACUAAUAAAAUAACUUUUUGAUGAGUUUUAA